AGAGUUUGAUCAUGGCUCAGGAUGAACGCUAGCUACAGGCUUAACACAUGCAAGUCGAGGGGAAACGACAUCGAAAGCUUGCUUUUGAUGGGCGUCGACCGGCGCACGGGUGAGUAACGCGUAUCCAACCUGCCCACCACUUGGGGAUAACCUUGCGAAAGUAAGACUAAUACCCAAUGACGUCUCUAGAAGACAUCUGAAGGAGAUUAAAGAUUUAUACGGUGAUGGAUGGGGAUGCGUCUGAUUAGCUUGUUGGCGGGGUAACGGCCCGACCAAGGCGACGAUCAGUAGGGGUUCUGAGAGGAAGGUCCCCCACACUUGGAACUGAGACACGGUCCAAACGUCCUACGGGAGGCA
Molecule: ribosomal RNA, 357 nt
Filed under: uncultured bacterium
Lineage: Bacteria
Description: bacterial SSU rRNA
Rfam family: Bacterial small subunit ribosomal RNA
Source: RNAcentral